This 228-nucleotide ribosomal RNA is filed under the name uncultured Lactobacillus sp. Its description in RNAcentral is "partial 16S ribosomal RNA". It matches the Rfam family "Bacterial small subunit ribosomal RNA", at positions 134 to 354 of the family's 1533-position model. Lineage: Bacteria; Bacillati; Bacillota; Bacilli; Lactobacillales; Lactobacillaceae. The record is from RNAcentral.
GAGAUCGGGAUAACACCUGGAAACAGAUGCUAAUACCGGAUAACAACAGAUGAUGCCUAUCAACUGUUUAAAAGAUGGUUCUGCUAUCACUCUUGGAUGGACCUGCGGUGCAUUAGCUAGUUGGUAGGGUAACGGCCUACCAAGGCGAUGAUGCAUAGCCGAGUUGAGAGACUGAUCGGCCACAUUGGGACUGAGACACGGCCCAAACUCCUACGGGAGGCAGCAGGG